Camelina sativa (false flax) is the source of this 239-nucleotide non-coding RNA. The record is from RefSeq and is a predicted model, not a curated record. Lineage: Eukaryota; Viridiplantae; Streptophyta; Magnoliopsida; Brassicales; Brassicaceae.
UGCAAAUCCCAAAAGACUUUCUUGAUUUGCGUUGAAGAGGAUUUCCCACUCUUCUCAAACUCUGCCAUUGAUAGAUCUCUAAGUCAUGAAGCAAAGGAAACAUUUCUCUCAGCCAUUGUUGGAGAAGGGCGUGCUGAGUGGUUAGAUAAAGGCCAUAGGAAAUGUCUGAUUCUGUGGCACCGGAUUCAAGAUUGGGCAGAUAUUAUUCUUCAGUUUGUGAGUCACAUGUGAAUUAAUCU